UGGGGAAUUUUGCACAAUGGGGGAAACCCUGAUGCAGCGACGCCGCGUGAUUUAGAAGGCCUUCGGGUUGUAAAAAUCUUUUCUAUGGGAAGAAAAUGACAGUACCAUAGGAAUAAGGACCGGCUAAUUACGUGCCAGCAGCCGCGGUAAUACGUAAGGUCCGAGCGUUGUCCGGAAUCAUUGGGCGUAAAGGGUACGUAGGCGGGUAAGCAAGUUAGAAGUGAAAUCCUAUAGCUCAACUAUAGUAAGCUUUUAAAACUGCUCAUCUUGAGGUAUGGAAGGGAAAGUGGAAUUCCUAGUGUAGCGGUGAAAUGCGCAGAUAUUAGGAGGAAUACCGGUAGCGAAGGCGACUUUCUGGCCAUAACCUGACGCUGGGGUACGAAAGCGUGGGUAGCAAACAGG
RNAcentral lists this ribosomal RNA (402 nucleotides) under bacterium. RNAcentral's name for it is "partial 16S ribosomal RNA". It matches the Rfam family "Bacterial small subunit ribosomal RNA", at positions 355 to 776 of the family's 1533-position model. The record is from RNAcentral.